UCAGUAUGAGAUCCAUCACCAUAUUUAGUGAUUGCUUUCAUAUCCCUUUCUCGCAUUCUUCUUGUUUAAUUUGAUCUUGAAUCUUCUUCUCUUUUCUAAAGGUUGGCGAGUUUCAGAGAUGCAGAACUGUAAAAGGAAAGAAACUAUCUCCUACCUGCAAAGAGGUAAUUGACUCUAAACUCUUUUUCUUCUCUUAAAAUGAAAAGACAAAUAAGAUUAAAGAAUGUCCCAUCCUAAAUCCUCAGGGUGAUGAAAUAAAGGAAGGCCAAGUUGUCGGAUACUUACAUCAGUUGGGAACAGAACUUCCAGUGACGGUAAUAGCUUAAGCUAAUGUAUCCAUCUCUUCUUCGUAACUAUCAAAUAUUGUACUCAUCGAUCUUUGCUAUUCAUGAAACAGUCGGAUGUAGCUGGGGAAGUCCUCAAGUUUCUUUCAGAUGAGGGAGGUAAACAUUUUGAGUAUUCAAACCGUAUCAAUUAAUAUGAACAUUCAGAAAUCAUAUGAGAAAAUUAAUAUAAACUCUCAUGCUUCAUGUAAAAACAGACUCUGUAGGUUAUGGUGAUCCUCUGGUAGCGGUCUUACCAUCGUUCCACGAUAUCAACAUCCAGUGAGAAUGAUGGUUUCUUCAGCCCAAUUCCGCACCAAAUGAAUAACCUUCAU
Molecule: long non-coding RNA, 658 nt
Filed under: Capsella rubella
Lineage: Eukaryota; Viridiplantae; Streptophyta; Magnoliopsida; Brassicales; Brassicaceae
Description: long non-coding RNA (CRUB_LNC002835)
Source: RNAcentral